UAACGAAUCUUCCGCAAUGCACGAAAGUGUGACGGAGCGACGCCGCGUGGAGGACGAAGUUCUUCGGAAUGUAAACUUCUGUCAGGGGAUACCAAGUUCUGAGGAUCCCCAGAGGAAGGGGCGACUAACUCUGUGCCAGCAGUCGCGGUAAGACAGAGGCCCCGAGCGUUAGGCGGAAUCACUGGGCUUAAAGCGUGUGUAGGCGGAUUCCUAAGUACCUUGUGAAAUCCCCGGGCUCAACCCGGGAACUGCUUGGUAUACUGGGUAUCUUGAGCCAAUUAGGGGCGAUCGGAACAAACGGUGGAGCGGUGAAAUGCGUAGAUAUCGUUUGGAACGCCAAUGGUGAAAACAGAUCGCUGGGAUUGUGCUGACGCUGAGACACGAAAGCCAGGGGAGCAAACGGGAUUAGAUACCCCCGUAGUCC
Molecule: ribosomal RNA, 424 nt
Filed under: uncultured bacterium
Lineage: Bacteria
Description: bacterial SSU rRNA
Rfam family: Bacterial small subunit ribosomal RNA
Source: RNAcentral